CCUACGGGUGGCAGCAGUGAGGAAUAUUGGUCAAUGGCCGAGAGUCUGAACCAGCCAAGUAGCGUGAAGGAUGACUGCCCUAUGGGUUGUAAACUUCUUUUAUAUGGGAAUAAAACGUUCCACGUGUGGGAUUUUGUAUGUACCAUAUGAAUAAGGAUCGGCUAACUCCGUGCCAGCAGCCGCGGUAAUACGGAGGAUCCGAGCGUUAUCCGGAUUUAUUGGGUUUAAAGGGAGCGUAGGUGGAUUGUUAAGUCAGUUGUGAAAGUUUGCGGCUCAACCGUAAAAUUGCAGUUGAAACUGGCAGUCUUGAGUACAGUAGAGGUGGGCGGAAUUCGUGGUGUAGCGGUGAAAUGCUUAGAUAUCACGAAGAACUCCGAUUGCGAAGGCAGUUCACUGGACUGCAACUGACACUGAGGCUCGAAAGUGUGGGUAUCAAACAGGAUUAGAUACCCCUGUAGUC
Molecule: ribosomal RNA, 460 nt
Filed under: uncultured bacterium
Lineage: Bacteria
Description: partial 16S ribosomal RNA
Rfam family: Bacterial small subunit ribosomal RNA
Source: RNAcentral